Molecule: ribosomal RNA, 1299 nt
Filed under: Salmonella enterica
Lineage: Bacteria; Pseudomonadati; Pseudomonadota; Gammaproteobacteria; Enterobacterales; Enterobacteriaceae
Also listed under: 2 other names
Description: partial 23S ribosomal RNA
Rfam family: Bacterial large subunit ribosomal RNA
Source: RNAcentral
GUGUGUUCCAGGUAAAUCCGGUUCACUUUAACACUGAGGCGUGACGACGAGGCACUACGGUGCUGAAGCAACAAAUGCCCUGCUUCCAGGAAAAGCCUCUAAGCAUCAGGUAACAUCAAAUCGUACCCCAAACCGACACAGGUGGUCAGGUAGAGAAUACCAAGGCGCUUGAGAGAACUCGGGUGAAGGAACUAGGCAAAAUGGUGCCGUAACUUCGGGAGAAGGCACGCUGACACGUAGGUGAAGUGAUUUACUCAUGGAGCUGAAGUCAGUCGAAGAUACCAGCUGGCUGCAACUGUUUAUUAAAAACACAGCACUGUGCAAACACGAAAGUGGACGUAUACGGUGUGACGCCUGCCCGGUGCCGGAAGGUUAAUUGAUGGGGUCAGCGCAAGCGAAGCUCCUGAUCGAAGCCCCGGUAAACGGCGGCCGUAACUAUAACGGUCCUAAGGUAGCGAAAUUCCUUGUCGGGUAAGUUCCGACCUGCACGAAUGGCGUAAUGAUGGCCAGGCUGUCUCCACCCGAGACUCAGUGAAAUUGAACUCGCUGUGAAGAUGCAGUGUACCCGCGGCAAGACGGAAAGACCCCGUGAACCUUUACUAUAGCUUGACACUGAACAUUGAGCCUUGAUGUGUAGGAUAGGUGGGAGGCUUUGAAGUGUGGACGCCAGUCUGCAUGGAGCCGACCUUGAAAUACCACCCUUUAAUGUUUGAUGUUCUAACGUGGACCCGUUACCCGGGUUGCGGACAGUGUCUGGUGGGUAGUUUGACUGGGGCGGUCUCCUCCUAAAGAGUAACGGAGGAGCACGAAGGUUGGCUAAUCCUGGUCGGACAUCAGGAGGUUAGUGCAAUGGCAUAAGCCAGCUUGACUGCGAGCGUGACGGCGCGAGCAGGUGCGAAAGCAGGUCAUAGUGAUCCGGUGGUUCUGAAUGGAAGGGCCAUCGCUCAACGGAUAAAAGGUACUCCGGGGAUAACAGGCUGAUACCGCCCAAGAGUUCAUAUCGACGGCGGUGUUUGGCACCUCGAUGUCGGCUCAUCACAUCCUGGGGCUGAAGUAGGUCCCAAGGGUAUGGCUGUUCGCCAUUUAAAGUGGUACGCGAGCUGGGUUUAGAACGUCGUGAGACAGUUCGGUCCCUAUCUGCCGUGGGCGCUGGAGAACUGAGGGGGGCUGCUCCUAGUACGAGAGGACCGGAGUGGACGCAUCACUGGUGUUCGGGUUGUCAUGCCAAUGGCACUGCCCGGUAGCUAAAUGCGGAAGAGAUAAGUGCUGAAAGCAUCUAAGCACGAAACUUGCCCCGAG